CUUAUGUAAGGACCCCCAGAUAAAGCUUUAAAGUACAUUGUAGACACAAUUGGUAGAUUUGGUAAUUUAUGACAUUUCUGUAUAUCUUCAUAUCUUCAAAGCUUAAGAUUCUUUGAAUUACUUUUGGUUUCAAAGGCUUGAAAUAAACAGACAAUACCAUGGCUAAAAAAGAAAAAAAGGCAAACAGAAAAACAAUAGUUCACAAGAC
This 208-nucleotide long non-coding RNA is filed under the name Mytilus galloprovincialis (Mediterranean mussel). Lineage: Eukaryota; Metazoa; Mollusca; Bivalvia; Mytilida; Mytilidae. The record is from RNAcentral.